GUGUCAGCAGCCGCGGUAAUACGGAGGGUGCGAGCGUUAAUCGGAAUGACUGGGCGUAAAGGGCAUGUAGGCGGAUGAUUAAGUUAGGUGUGAAAGCCUCGGGCUCAACCUGAGAAUAGCAUUUAAAACUGGUGAUCUGGAGUACUGUAGAGGGAGGUAGAAUUCCACGUGUAGCGGUGAAAUGCGUAGAGAUGUGGAGGAAUACCGGUGGCGAAGGCGGCCUUCUGGACAGAUACUGACGCUGAGAUGCGAAAGCGUGGGGAGCAAACAGGAUUAGAUACCCUGGUAGUCCACGCUGUAAACGAUGUCGAUUUGGAGUUUGUUGCCUAGAGUGAUGGGCUCCGAAGCUAACGCGAUAAAUCGACCGCCUGGGGAGUACGGCCGCAAGGUUAAAACUCAAAUAAAUUGACGG
This 412-nucleotide ribosomal RNA is filed under the name uncultured bacterium. RNAcentral describes it as "bacterial SSU rRNA". It matches the Rfam family "Bacterial small subunit ribosomal RNA", at positions 505 to 916 of the family's 1533-position model. The record is from RNAcentral.